RNAcentral lists this ribosomal RNA (478 nucleotides) under uncultured bacterium. Its description in RNAcentral is "partial 16S ribosomal RNA". It matches the Rfam family "Bacterial small subunit ribosomal RNA", at positions 28 to 507 of the family's 1533-position model. The record is from RNAcentral.
GAUGAACGCUGGCGGCGUGCUUAACACAUGCAAGUCGAACGGGAAUUAUUUUAUUGAAACUUCGGUCGAUUUAAUUUAAUUCUAGUGGCGGACGGGUGAGUAACGCGUGGGUAACCUGCCUUAUACGGGGGGAUAACAGUCAGAAAUGGCUGCUAAUACCGCAUAAGCGCACAGAGCUGCAUGGCUCAGUGUGAACAACUCCGGUGGUAUAAGAUGGACCCGCGUUGGAUUAGCUGGUUGGUGGGGUAACGGCCCACCAAGGCGACGAUCCAUAGCCGGCCUGAGAGGGGGAACGGCCACAUUGGGACUGAGACACGGCCCAGACUCCUACGGGAGGCAGCAGUGGGGAAUAUUGCACAAUGGGGGAAACCCUGAUGCAGCGACGCCGCGUGAAGGAAGAAGUAUCUCGGUAUGUAAACUUCUAUCAGCAGGGAAGAUAGUGACGGUACCUGACUAAGAAGCCCCGGCUAACUACGUG